RNAcentral lists this ribosomal RNA (703 nucleotides) under Triticum aestivum (bread wheat). RNAcentral describes it as "partial small subunit ribosomal RNA". Lineage: Eukaryota; Viridiplantae; Streptophyta; Magnoliopsida; Poales; Poaceae. The record is from RNAcentral.
UGCUAGUUCCAGCAAAAAAAACGUUGGUUCCAGCAAAAUAACUCUGAAGGGAGACUCGAAUUGGUUCUAUUGUAGCAAACAAAAAAAGAUUGUAGCAAAAGGAAAAGCUAGUUCCAGCAAAAACAUACACUGGUUCCAGCAAAUAUCACACGUUGACGAUGAGCACGCAUCUGGUUCCAGCAAAUCGGUGGCCGACGGCAGCAAAAACUGAUACCGGUUCCAGCAAAUGGAUGGCCGGUUGUAGCAUUUCUUGUCACCGGUUGCAACUGUCGACACCGCGGUUGUAGCAAAUCGCCAGUAGUGGUCGUCGCCGCCGCGCGUUGAUUGUAGCAUGGCCGCAUGCCGGUUGUAGCACCUCGGAACGCCGGUUCCAGCUUUGCGUGCAUGCGGUUGGAGCACCGCCGCACCUCGCGUCGCCGCUGGUCGUCCCGCACCUCGUCGGUCACCGCUCGUAGCAGCAAGACGUCGCCGGUUCAUAGCACAGGCGGUGACCGCUCCGCGCGUCCCGGCACACAAGAAAAGCAGUGAGAAAUAGGGAACGGCGCUCCCGCUGGCAAAAAUUAGCUCGACGGCCUGCGCGAGGAGCAGACGGCACAUGAGGCAGGAUUAAAAGGAGAUGGGAAGAGGUGGGGAUCCAUGGAGUUUUUGCCGUGGUGUGUGGAGAAGAGCAUGGGAGCUAUUUCUGUUUCGGUGGAGAAGAAAU